AUCCAGAUGAUGAGUCCCAAAUAGGACGAAAUGCGCGUUAUCCUGGAU
Molecule: non-coding RNA, 48 nt
Organism: Trichobilharzia regenti
Lineage: Eukaryota; Metazoa; Platyhelminthes; Trematoda; Strigeidida; Schistosomatidae
Source: Rfam